This 253-nucleotide ribosomal RNA is filed under the name uncultured bacterium. Its description in RNAcentral is "partial 16S ribosomal RNA". It matches the Rfam family "Bacterial small subunit ribosomal RNA", at positions 524 to 776 of the family's 1533-position model. The record is from RNAcentral.
UACGUAGGGAGCAAGCGUUGUUCGGAUUUACUGGGCGUAAAGGGCGCGUAGGCGGCGUGUUAAGUCAGCUGUGAAAGCCCCGAGCUUAACUUGGGAAUUGCGCUUGUGACUGGCGUGCUGGAGUGUGGCAGAGGGAGGUGGAAUUCCACGUGUAGCAGUGAAAUGCGUAGAGAUGCGGAGGAACACCGAUGGCGAAGGCAGCCCCCUGGGCUAGCACUGACGCUCAGGCACGAAAGCGUGGGGAGCAAACAGG